CACGUAGGCACCCAGCGUUGUCCGGAUUUAUUGGGCGUAAAGAGCUCGUAGGCGGUUCGAUAAGUCGGGUGUGAAAACUUUGGGCUCAACCCAAAGCGUGCACUCGAUACUGUUGUGACUAGAGUUCGGUAGGGGAGUGGGGAAUUCCUAGUGUAGCGGUGAAAUGCGCAGAUAUUAGGAGGAACACCGGUGGCGAAGGCGCCACUCUGGGCCGAAACUGACGCUGAGGAGCGAAAGCGUGGGUAGCAAACAGG
This 254-nucleotide ribosomal RNA is filed under the name uncultured bacterium. RNAcentral's name for it is "partial 16S ribosomal RNA". It matches the Rfam family "Bacterial small subunit ribosomal RNA", at positions 524 to 776 of the family's 1533-position model. The record is from RNAcentral.